RNAcentral lists this ribosomal RNA (407 nucleotides) under uncultured bacterium. RNAcentral describes it as "bacterial SSU rRNA". It matches the Rfam family "Bacterial small subunit ribosomal RNA", at positions 361 to 765 of the family's 1533-position model. The record is from RNAcentral.
AUAUUGGUCAAUGGACGCAAGUCUGAACCAGCCAUGCCGCGUGAAGGAUUAAGGCCCUCUGGGUUGUAAACUUCUUUUAUAGGGGAAGAAAUGUGACGGUUCUCCGUCACUUGACGGUACCCUGGGAAUAAGCACCGGCUAACUCCGUGCCAGCAGCCGCGGUAAUACGGAGGGUGCAAGCGUUAUCCGGAUUCACUGGGUUUAAAGGGUGCGUAGGUGGGCAGAUAAGUCAGUGGUGAAAUCUUCCGGCUUAACCGGGAAACUGCCGUUGAUACUAUUUGGCUUGAAUAUUGCGUAGGUAAGCGGAAUAUGUCAUGUAGCGGUGAAAUGCUUAGAUAGGACAUAGAACACCUAUUGCGAAGGCAGCUUACUACACAAUCAUUGACACUGAGGCACGAAAGCGUGGG